UACGGGGGGUGCGAGCGUUGUCCGGAAUCACUGGGCGUAAAGGGCGCGUAGGCGGUUUUUUAAGUGAGGCGUGAAAGCCCUGGGCUUAACCCAGGAGGUGCGUUUCAUACUGGAAGACUUGAGUGCGAGAGAGGAAAGUGGAAUUCCUAGUGUAGAGGUGAAAUUCGUAGAUAUUAGGAAGAACACCUGUGGCGAAGGCGGCUUUCUGGCUCGCAACUGACGCUGACGCGCGAAAGCGUGGGGAGCAAACAGG
This 253-nucleotide ribosomal RNA is filed under the name uncultured bacterium. Its description in RNAcentral is "partial 16S ribosomal RNA". It matches the Rfam family "Bacterial small subunit ribosomal RNA", at positions 524 to 776 of the family's 1533-position model. The record is from RNAcentral.